CUCCCUUUCUGUUUGUGUGUGAUUGUGUGGUUGGAGACAGGUGUGCUGGAGCCAGAGUGGAUCCUCACCAGCUGCAACCCGUUCCAUUAUCAAGACCUCUACAAAUACUCAGUCCUGCCACUUCCACUCUGCCGGAUCGCAUUCUCCGUUCAUUUUACUCCUCUGACUCCUGUCUCCUGUUCCACAUCUCACCACCCUGCUACCCUGUUCUGGAUUCAACUCAUCAUCACUCCCUUGGAUUCCCCUCCAGACCUGUUCACCCUGUCCCAACCCAGCUCACUCCAACCUCAGCCUCCACAUCUGGUUUCCAACAACUCAUCCAAGCUUCCCUGGAUCUGCCCUUCAUCUCUCCCUGUGUUACAAUAAAUAUCUUGGUUCAUUCA
Non-coding RNA from Salmo salar (Atlantic salmon), 383 nucleotides. The record is from RefSeq and is a predicted model, not a curated record. Lineage: Eukaryota; Metazoa; Chordata; Actinopteri; Salmoniformes; Salmonidae.